RNAcentral lists this ribosomal RNA (1723 nucleotides) under wastewater metagenome. Its description in RNAcentral is "bacterial LSU rRNA". It matches the Rfam family "Bacterial large subunit ribosomal RNA", at positions 816 to 2555 of the family's 2925-position model. The record is from RNAcentral.
UAGCGGAGAAAUUCCAAUCGAACUCGGAGAUAGCUGGUUCUCCCCGAAAUAGCUUUAGGGCUAGCGUCGGAUAUGUGUAGUGGAGGUAGAGCACUGAAUGGGCUAGGGGGCAUAUCGCUUACCGAACCUUAUCAAACUCCGAAUGCCAUAUACAUUUAGUCCGGCAGUCAGACUACGAAUGAUAAGAUCCGUGGUCAAAAGGGAAACAGCCCAGAUCGUCAGCUAAGGUCCCAAAGUGUAAGUUAAGUGGAAAAGGAUGUGGGAUUUCUAAGACAACUAGGAUGUUGGCUUAGAAGCAGCCACUCAUUUAAAGAGUGCGUAAUAGCUCACUAGUCGAGAGAUCCUGCGCCGAAAAUGUCCGGGGCUAAAACUUACCACCGAAGCUACGGGCUUGCGUAAGCAAGCGGUAGGGGAGCGUCGUAAUCGGGCUGAAGUCGUACCGUAAGGAGCGGUGGACUGAUUACGAGUGAGAAUGUUGGCAUUAGUAGCGAGAUGUAGGUGAGAAUCCUACAGGCCGAAUAUCUAAGGUUUCCUCAGGAAGGCUCGUCCGCUGAGGGUUAGUCGGGACCUAAGCCGAGGCCGAAAGGCGUAGGCGAUGGACAAUCGGUUGAUAUUCCGAUACCACUACUAUCGUUAUUAUCGAGGGUGUGACGGAGAAGGAUAGUGUGUGCUAGCGAUUGGAAAUGCUAGUCUAAGCGUUUAGGGAGUUACGGUAGGCAAAUCCGCUGUAACAAUUCUGAGGCGUGAUGGGGAAGGCCAUAUAGGCCGAAGUACAUGAUUCCAUGCUUCCAAGAAAAGCAUCUAGAGAGAGAAGUAGUGCCCGUACCGCAAACCGACACAGGUAGAUGAGGAGAGAAUCCUAAGGCCGGCGGAAGAAUUGCAGUUAAGGAACUAGGCAAAUUGACCCCGUAAGUUAGCGAGAAGGGGUGCCUGCGAGAGCAGGCCGCAGAGAAUAGGCCCAAGCAACUGUUUAGCAAAAACACAGGUCUCUGCUAAAGCGCAAGCUGAUGUAUAGGGGCUGACGCCUGCCCGGUGCUGGAAGGUUAAGGGGAACACUUAGCGCAAGCGAAGGUGUGAACUUAAGCCCCAGUAAACGGCGGCCGUAACUAUAACGGUCCUAAGGUAGCGAAAUUCCUUGUCAGGUAAGUUCUGACCCGCACGAAUGGCGUAAUGACUUGGGCACUGUCUCAACUGCAAAUCCGGCGAAGUUGUAGUGCGAGUGAAGAUGCUCGCUACCCGCGAUUGGACGGAAAGACCCCGUAGAGCUUUACUGUAGCUUAGCAUUGAAUUCCGGUAUUGUCUGUACAGGAUAGGUGGGAGACUGGGAAACUAGGGCGUCAGCCUUAGUGGAGUCAACCUUGGGAUACCACCCUGACAGUACUGGGGUUCUAACAGGACGCCAUGAAUCUGGUGACUGGACAUUGUUAGGUGGGCAGUUUGACUGGGGCGGUCGCCUCCUAAAAAGUAACGGAGGCGCCCAAAGGUUCCCUCAGAACGGUCGGAAAUCGUUCGUAGAGUGCAAAGGCAGAAGGGAGCCUGACUGCGAGACCUACAAGUCGAGCAGGGACGAAAGUCGGGCUUAGUGAUCCGGUGGUACCUCGUGGGAGGGCCAUCGCUCAACGGAUAAAAGCUACCUCGGGGAUAACAGGCUGAUCUCCCCCAAGAGUCCACAUCGACGGGGAGGUUUGGCACCUCGAUGUCGGCUCGUCGCAUCCUGGGGCUG